UCAUUCUUAUAGAAUUUUAAUAUAAUAUAAUUAUCGUACUCUAUUAUCUUUUCAAGAAACUUGUUAACCGUUUGUUAUUUCUUGCAUUACCGUUAUUUUAAUUUACUUAGUAUGUACUCCCUAUGCAAUUUUACUCUUAAACAUUUUCCUUCGGGUUACUUCAGUUUCUCUUAUUAUUGUUAACUUCAUUCGGUGUUUACAUUAUGGUUGUACGUCUUACUUUGAGAAAAAGGGAAUACGUCGAUAUCUAGGAGUACGAGGAUGAGGACGACGUACGACGUUUCUUCGAAAGUGGACUCGAGGAUUUUUCGCUUAGUCGCGCCCUAUCAAGUCCGAUGAUCUUUCGAUUUCGCGAUAGUCCCGAGACGCUGAAUGUCGGUUGUCCCAUUCCACUCAAUCGCUGUAAACACCGACUAUAUCUCUGCUACUACUACUACUAUUAUCUACUAUCUACUACUAAUACUACUACAUUCUUUUUUCUCGCUUAGUCGAUUCAUCGAUUUCAAAAAAGGAGAGAAAACAAAUUUGACAAAGUUACGAAGGUGGUGGUAGUAAGAAAAGGUCGUCGUCGUCGUCGUCGUUUUAAAGUUCGGUAGAAGAAGAAGUUGAAGAAUCAAAGAGACGUACUUUCUCCGCGUACGGAGAGGUGCGUCUAACAACGGUAAGAAGACUCGAGAAUAACUUGGAAAAGGGAAUACGACGAACGAGAAGGGGGAGAUGUGCUGCUGCUGCUACUGCUUGCUUGCCACGGGUCCGUGACUAGUGCGAAACAGAAAACAAGAGGGAGUAUAAACGACAAAGGAGCUCGGCAUUAUUAUGUGCCGGGGCUUAAUGCAUGACAAUGCCAAGCAGACUCUCUCUCUCUCUCUCUUUCUCUUUCUCUUUAUCUUUCUCUUGCUAUCUCUCUCUCUCUCUUUCGUUCCCGGGUCGUUCCUGCGGGCACUGGCUCAAGCACCGCCAUGGGACUGUCGUUUCACAAUGCUACGCUAACAAGGUCAGCAAUUAAUGAAUCGUUGGCAAUGUGUUGCCAGAAAAAUACGCGAACCUGCUGGGACCGAUGUAUUAUUAAGGAGGAGGUCUCUAUACUCUUCUUUUUUUUUUGUUCAUCCCUCAAUUCCUCGCUCUUCUUCGCGCUCGUCGUUUUUAUCUCAUUCUCGUUCUUCAUUAUUUAUAAUUUMUUUUAUUUUAUUUUUGUUUGAUAAAAAGGAAGAAA
Long non-coding RNA from Polistes dominula (European paper wasp), 1213 nucleotides. NCBI's taxonomy places the organism in Eukaryota, Metazoa, Arthropoda, Insecta, Hymenoptera, Vespidae. The record is from RefSeq and is a predicted model, not a curated record.